RNAcentral lists this ribosomal RNA (880 nucleotides) under uncultured archaeon. RNAcentral's name for it is "bacterial SSU rRNA". It matches the Rfam family "Archaeal small subunit ribosomal RNA", at positions 1 to 886 of the family's 1478-position model. The record is from RNAcentral.
UCCGGUUGAUCCUGGCGGAGGACAUUGCUAUUGGGAUUCGAUUUAGCCAUGCUAGUCGAGCGAGUUCAGACUCGCGGCGCAUAGCUCAGUAACACGUGGCCAAGCUCCCCUCCAGUCAGCGAUACCCUCGGGAAACUGAGGCUAACAGCUGAUACAACACGCCAGCUGGAAUGCGGCGUUUUCGAAAGACAUCGCUGAAGGAUGCGGCUGCGGCCGAUUAGGUAGACGGUGGGGUAACGGCCCACCGUGCCAGUAAUCGGUACGGGUGAUGAGAGUCAGAGCCCGGAGACGGAAUCUGAGACAAGAUUCCGGGCCCUACGGGGCGCAGCAGGCGCGAAACCUUUACACUGCACGGAAGUGCGAUAGGGGAAUCCCAAGUGCGAGGGCAUAUUAGCCCUCGCUUUUCUCGACUCUAAGGUGGUCGACGAAUAAGAGCUGGGCAAGACCGGUGCCAGCCGCCGCGGUAAUACCGGCAGCUCAAGUGAUGUCCCAUAUUAUUGGGCCUAAAGCGUCCGUAGCUGGCCGACCAAGUCUAUCGGGAAAUCCACCUGCCCAACAGGUGGGCGUCCGGUAGAAACUGGCCGGCUUGGAACCGGAAGGCUCAGAGAGUACGUCCGGGGUAGGAGUGAAAUCCCGUAAUCCCGGACGGACUACCGAUGGCGAAAGCACUCUGAGAAGACGGAUUCGACAGUGAGGGACGAAAGCUCGGGUCUCAAACCGGAUUAGAUACCCGGGUAGUCCGAGCCGUAAACGAUGCUCGUUAGGUGUGGCACCCACUACGAGUGGGUGCUGCGCCGUAGGGAAGCCGCUAAACGAGCCGCCUGGGAAGUACGUCCGCAAGGAUGAAACUUAAAGGAAUUGGCGGGGGAGCACUACAACC